This 2017-nucleotide long non-coding RNA is filed under the name Heterocephalus glaber (naked mole-rat). RNAcentral describes it as "lncRNA (ENSHGLG00100051947.1)". The record is from RNAcentral. Lineage: Eukaryota; Metazoa; Chordata; Mammalia; Rodentia; Bathyergidae.
UUUUUUCUCCUCCACAUUUAAUCCACUUUAUACAGGAGAAUUUAUUGAAAAGUCUAUCUUUUACCCAUUGAAUUGCACUGUUACUUUGUCAUAAACUUGGGGACUGUGUAUCUGUCUCUAUAUCUACUGUGUGUCUGUUUUUAAACUCCCUAUUCAAGUCAUUGGUCUCAUUGUCUGUCUUUGAACUAGGAUCCUAUGGCACUCACUGCUGGUGGGGCAGUAAAAUAAUUUUGCAGUGUAAUUAAUACAGAGGGCUUUUCUCCAAGGUAAUUUUAAUGUCUCAGAAAGACCGCUGGCAAGUCUGUCUUUGGCACUGGCUUAUAGGUUCCCAUCUCUACACGAAGACCAUUUCCUGUAGAGAGAUGGUUCUGAAAUACACUGCUGAGCUCCUGCUUCAGGGGUUGAAACUUAAUAGCUGCCUUGUUAGGCCCAUUGCCAGCCUCUUGCACCAAGCUGGCCUAGGGACCUUUCCGGAGUAAGCAGUAUUUUCUAACACCCUUUGCCUCUUCCUCCUCUGCAUGCAGGUGGGGCAAGGUAGGACGUCAUUGGCCGAUCAGAGAUCUGGGUGCCUGCAUAGGGCAAGCCAGCAAGAAUGAAGGACUGGCAUGAAUGCAGCGCUGGUAAAUGGCAGGAGUAUGAGUCACCCAGAUGACUACUGGAAUAUAUAGAGUGGACGAGGCUUGGGACUAAGGUGCUGGCCGUUUCCUUCCACAUAAUUACCUUCAUGUGCAGAUCCAAGCCCAGCUGCCACAUAGCAGGUUCAGCUCUCUGUGUGGAGAUAUACUUGGUUCUCACUGGGAAAGUGUGCUGAGCUCCGGCUUGCUGCCUCACAUUCUGCAUCCUUUUCUGCCACACCUUCCACAUUUCACACAAAACUGGUGUUAUUGUAAGAGUCCUUCCCUGGCCUCUCAGUGAUGGUUUUGACCAUCAUCAUACCUUGAAGUUUGAGAGUGUAGAAGUUAUUGUUUCAGGACUCAGAGACUUUUGAGGACAUGGCAGUGCAAGUCACCUAGAAGGAAUGGGCCAGCUUGAAGUCCACCAGGAAGGCCUUGUACACGGAAGUGAUGAUGGAGAACUGCAGGGCCAUGGCUUCCCUGGGUAAGGCCUCUCUGCUACCCAUCUCUGCCUGGGCCCUCAGAGAUGGAAGGACUCCUUUGUUUACCAGAUGACCUCAAAUGGCAGUGUCAGAGGUUGGCAGGUAUGGAAAGCUCUGGGGUCUGUUGACUUCCAAAGUGUGUUCCUUCUUUUUUUUAAUCAUAAAAGUUACCUUCCUUCCCUACUUGCCUUAGAAGUGAUUCUCUGGGUCCAGCAGGGCUUGAGAUAUAUCGUGGUACCCUUACCCUGGUAUUGAAUUUCCACAUUGUCUUGAGAAAGCCAGUCCCUCUGUCUCCUUUGAGAGUUGCUCUUAGGAACCAUGAAUCUGUUUCCCACAAUGGGAGUUUAACAUUCUCUAACAAAGUAAGAAGACUUGUUUCCAGGUAAGGAGGAAUCUGCCUCCCGACAUGUUUCAGGUUCCUAGGGAGCACCCUUUGAGGCUUAUUCCCAGCAUCCCUUCCUGAGACUGUAGGGAACCUUCUGCACAGCCCAUCCAGGAAUUACCUACCGUCCCUGCCGCCCCUGCUGGUCCCUGCAGUCUCAGGAUGAAGUUGACCCUGUGACUUUGUUGAUCAUCGGGUUUCAUUUUCUUCUCUUCAAGCAGCAGCAUCUGUUGAGAGACCAGCUCUGAACUUUCAGCUGGAGCAAGAGAGGGAAGCCCUAAUCAGGGGCGGCUGGGAUCCAGGCCUUGCAGAUUACAUCUUAAAACUAAGAAGAUAUACUUACCUAGCUUACAGAUACUUUAUCCAAUAAGAUAUAAAGAUUUCUGGAAAUCCUCAGUGCUGGGAAGACAGGACACAAGCUUAAUUCUUGACUUUUACCAGUUUUCAAUUGCAUGUUCAUUAAAGUUGCUCAUUUUGAUGUACAGAGCAGGCUCCCUUGUCCUUUUUUACACGGCUUUAUAGAGAUAUAAUUCACAAAC